Molecule: long non-coding RNA, 747 nt
Filed under: Chinchilla lanigera (long-tailed chinchilla)
Lineage: Eukaryota; Metazoa; Chordata; Mammalia; Rodentia; Chinchillidae
Description: lncRNA (ENSCLAG00000023385.1)
Source: RNAcentral
AUUUCAGGUUUUACUACCUUAUAUGACAGACAAUGAAAAAUAAUCUGUUGCUCUACUUUUUAAAUCAGGACUCAGGACAUGGACUAUGAUGUCUGGAGGACACGACGCCAGGAAUCCCAUGUUCCUGAGAGAGUCUGGAGGUGGAGGCACAAGGUAAGAACAAUCUCAUGCCUGUGCUGCACCUCCUUGCCAGGCCAGACCCGCCCAUGGUUCCACAGCUGGGUUCGCCUUCCACAAAGCUGCACCAGAGUACCACAUGGCCACCGCCUUCACCCUUUAUCCACAACAGCACUAAUGAUGGUCCACGGUGAGCCAGACCCAAGUCCCAGCUUUAUUAGAAGUGAUCAGUAACUGUGGCUGUCCAAAUUCCCAGCCAACAGAACACUUUACUAGAAUGGGGAGGGUUCUAAGCUUUUUAAUUUCACUCUAAAUACUGCUUUCUAAUUGCAAUGUGUUAAACGAAUGGGGUACCACAAAAGUUCCUGGUCUUGCUCUUCAUGCUCUGAAUUCUGACUGUUAAUAUUUCUUCCUGCAAAACAUGGCUUUUAUAUAUUCCGUACACAUCUAGGUGCAGCUAUAAUAAUUUAUAAAAGAAAAAAUCUCAAAUAAUCAAGUGGCUGUUAAAUUAAAUAUGAAAGAAAUUGGAAGAAGACCAACUAAAAUUACACAGCGUUAUUAAAAGGAUGUCCUCUCUAAAUUUCUCAAAGUGUGUUUGGUCUUUACUGUGUAUGACUGGGACUGGAUUUU